RNAcentral lists this long non-coding RNA (237 nucleotides) under Elaeis guineensis (African oil palm). RNAcentral's name for it is "long non-coding RNA (EGUI_LNC002223)". The record is from RNAcentral. Lineage: Eukaryota; Viridiplantae; Streptophyta; Magnoliopsida; Arecales; Arecaceae.
GCCUCCUUAGCAUCAUAGGUUUCCUUCUAGAUAAUCUCCAUAUUCUCGGCCCUAUCAACUAAAUCAUCAUAAUUUAUUGAGUGUACUAUAGCCAGACCUCGACGUAUAUGUGGCUUCAACCCCUCUUCAAAUCUCCUCAUUCUAGAUGCAGCAUCCAUGACAAGGGUGGGAGUGAAUUGGGAUAAUUUAUCAAACUCAACUUCAUACUCAUCCACAGUCAUACUAUCCUGAUAGAUG